AGGUAGAGAAUACCAAGGCGCUUGAGAGAACUCGGGUGAAGGAACUAGGCAAAAUGGUGCCGUAACUUCGGGAGAAGGCACGCUGGUGUGUAGGUGAAGUCCCUGCGGAUGGAGCUGAGACCAGUCGAAGAUACCAGCUGGCUGCAACUGUUUAUUAAAAACACAGCACUGUGCAAACACGAAAGUGGACGUAUACGGUGUGACGCCUGCCCGGUGCCGGAAGGUUAAUUGAUGGGGUUAUCCGUAAGGAGAAGCUCUUGAUCGAAGCCCCGGUAAACGGCGGCCGUAACUAUAACGGUCCUAAGGUAGCGAAAUUCCUUGUCGGGUAAGUUCCGACCUGCACGAAUGGCGUAAUGAUGGCCAGGCUGUCUCCACCCGAGACUCAGUGAAAUUGAACUCGCUGUGAAGAUGCAGUGUACCCGCGGCAAGACGGAAAGACCCCGUGAACCUUUACUAUAGCUUGACACUGAACAUUGAGCCUUGAUGUGUAGGAUAGGUGGGAGGCUUUGAAGCGUGGACGCCAGUCUGCGUGGAGCCAACCUUGAAAUACCACCCUUUAAUGUUUGAUGUUCUAACGUUGGCCCCUUACCGGGGUUGCGGACAGUGUCUGGUGGGUAGUUUGACUGGGGCGGUCUCCUCCCAAAGCGUAACGGAGGAGCACGAAGGUUAGCUAAUCCUGGUCGGACAUCAGGAGGUUAGUGCAAUGGCAUAAGCUAGCUUGACUGCGAGCGUGACGGCGCGAGCAGGUGCGAAAGCAGGUCAUAGUGAUCCGGUGGUUCUGAAUGGAAGGGCCAUCGCUCAACGGAUAAAAGGUACUCCGGGGAUAACAGGCUGAUACCGCCCAAGAGUUCAUAUCGACGGCGGUGUUUGGCACCUCGAUGUCGGCUCAUCACAUCCUGGGGCUGAAGUAGGUCCCAAGGGUAUGGCUGUUCGCCAUUUAAAGUGGUACGCGAGCUGGGUUUAGAACGUCGUGAGACAGUUCGGUCCCUAUCUGCCGUGGGCGCUGGAGAAUUGAGGGGGGCUGCUCCUAGUACGAGAGGACCGGAGUGGACGCAUCACUGGUGUUCGGGUUGUCAUGCCAAUGGCACUGCCCGGUAGCUAAAUGCGGAAGAGAUAAGUGCUGAAAGCAUCUAAGCACGAAACUUGCCCCGAGAUGAGUUCUCCCUGAGACUUUAAGUCUCCUGAAGGAACGUUGAAGACGACGACGUUGAUAGGCCGGGUGUGUAAGCGCAGCGAUGCGUUGAGCUAACCGGUACUAAUGAACCGUGAGGCUUAACCUU
Molecule: ribosomal RNA, 1280 nt
Filed under: Klebsiella pneumoniae IS53
Lineage: Bacteria; Pseudomonadati; Pseudomonadota; Gammaproteobacteria; Enterobacterales; Enterobacteriaceae
Description: LSU rRNA
Rfam family: Bacterial large subunit ribosomal RNA
Source: RNAcentral